UACAGAGGUCCCAAGCGUUGUUCGGAUUCACUGGGCGUAAAGGGUGCGUAGGUGGUGAGGUAAGUUUGAUGUGAAAUCUCCGAGCCUAACUCGGAAAAUGCAUUGAAUACUACUUUGCUAGAGGAUUGGAGGGGAGUCUGGAAUUCUUGGUGUAGCAGUGAAAUGCGUAGAUAUCAAGAGGAACACCAGUGGCGAAAGCGAGACUCUGGACAAUUCCUGACACUGAGGCACGAAAGCUAGGGGAGCAAACAGG
This 253-nucleotide ribosomal RNA is filed under the name uncultured bacterium. RNAcentral's name for it is "partial 16S ribosomal RNA". It matches the Rfam family "Bacterial small subunit ribosomal RNA", at positions 524 to 776 of the family's 1533-position model. The record is from RNAcentral.